AUUGAACGCUGGCGGCAUGCCUUACACAUGCAAGUCGAACGGUAACAGGUUAAGCUGACGAGUGGCGAACGGGUGAGUAAUGUAUCGGAACGUGCCCAGUCGUGGGGGAUAACUGCUCGAAAGAGCAGCUAAUACCGCAUACGACCUGAGGGUGAAAGCGGGGGAUCGCAAGACCUCGCGCGAUUGGAGCGGCCGAUAUCAGAUUAGGUAGUUGGUGAGGUAAAGGCUCACCAAGCCGACGAUCUGUAGCUGGUCUGAGAGGACGACCAGCCACACUGGGACUGAGACACGGCCCAGACUCCUACGGGAGGCAGCAGUGGGGAUUUUGGACAAUGGGCGCAAGCCUGAUCCAGCCAUGCCGCGUGCGGGAAGAAGGCCUUCGGGUUGUAAACCGCUUUUGUCAGGGAAGAAAAGGUUCUGGCUAAUACCUGGGACUCAUGACGGUACCUGAAGAAUAAGCACCGGCUAACUACGUG
RNAcentral lists this ribosomal RNA (476 nucleotides) under uncultured bacterium. RNAcentral describes it as "partial 16S ribosomal RNA". It matches the Rfam family "Bacterial small subunit ribosomal RNA", at positions 30 to 507 of the family's 1533-position model. The record is from RNAcentral.